This 490-nucleotide ribosomal RNA is filed under the name uncultured bacterium. Its description in RNAcentral is "partial 16S ribosomal RNA". It matches the Rfam family "Bacterial small subunit ribosomal RNA", at positions 27 to 507 of the family's 1533-position model. The record is from RNAcentral.
GGAUGAACGCUAGCUACAGGCUUAACACAUGCAAGUCGAGGGGCAGCAUGAUUGAAGCUUGCUUCAAUCGAUGGCGACCGGCGCACGGGUGAGUAACACGUAUCCAACCUGCCGAUAACUCGGGGAUAGCCUUUCGAAAGAAAGAUUAAUACCCGAUAGUAUAGUAUUUCCGCAUGGUUUCACUAUUAAAGAACUUCGGUUAUCGAUGGGGAUGCGUUCCAUUAGAUAGUUGGCGGGGUAACGGCCCACCAAGUCAACGAUGGAUAGGGGUUCUGAGAGGAAGGUCCCCCACAUUGGAACUGAGACACGGUCCAAACUCCUACGGGAGGCAGCAGUGAGGAAGAUUGGUCAAUGGACGAGAGUCUGAACCAGCCAAGUAGCGUGAAGGAUGACUGCCCUAUGGGUUGUAAACUUCUUUUAUACGGGAAUAAAGUGGAGUAUGCAUACUCCUUUGUAUGUACCGGAUGAAUAAGGAUCGGCUAACUCCGUG